UAGUAGCGGCGAGCGAAAAGAAAACAGUUCAGCACUAAGUUACUUUACUUUGAGAGUAAGUGUAAGAUGCAGUGUAUGGAACUUCUAAGAUCUAGUAUGAAUAUUAACGAUUUAAGUCCUUCUUGAAUGAGGCCAUUUAUAUCCAUAGAGGGUGCCAGGCCCGUAUAACGUUAAUGAUUACUAGAAGAUGUUUCCAAAGAGUCGUGUUGCUUGAUAGUGCAGCACUAAGUUGGUGGUAAACUCCAUCUAAAACUAAAUAUAACCAUGAGACCGAUAGUAAACAAGUACCGUGAGGGAAAGUUGAAAAGAACUCUGAAUAGAGAGUUAAAUAGUACGUGAAACUGCUUAGGGGUUAAGCCCGAUGAACCUGAAUAUCCAAUUAUGGAAAAUUCAACAUUAGUAUUUGCAAAUGAAAUUUUCAUUUGUGAAGAAUAGUGUGCACUUUUUCCAUAUUAAGGACAUUGUAAUCUAUUAACAUUUAUAUUAUAUAUUUAUCAAAAGAUCAUAUUGCUUUUAAAGUUUAUUCAAAUUAAUUUAUUUAUUAAAUUAACAUAGAAUAAGUGCAAAAUGAUUUGAUAAAGUGUUGAUAGAAUUUAAUAAUAUAUAGUGCUUAUUAAGUUUACUUAAUUAAAGGAUAUUGUACAUUAUAUAUGUAUGAUAUUGUUUAUGCACUAAUAUGAUUAACAAUGCGUAAGAUUCAGGAUACCUUCGGGACCCGUCUUGAAACACGGACCAAGGAGUCUAACAUAUGUGCAAGUUAUUGGGAUUUAAAAAUUUGUUUACAAAUUUUUAUAUUAAAAUGAAACCCAAAAGCGUAAAUAACUUGACUUUUAUAAAUGGGAUUAAUUUUUAGAAAUUUUAUAUUCUAAUUAUUCAAUCCCGGGGCGUUCUUUAUAGUUAUGUAUAAUAGUAUUUUAAAUAUUAUUUAUACCUCUAACUGGAGCGUACCUUGAGCAUAUAUGCUGUGACCCGAAAGAUGGUGAACUAUACUUGAUCAGGUUGAAGUCAGGGGAAACCCUGAUGGAAGACCGAAACAGUUCUGACGUGCAAAUCGAUUGUCAGAAUUGAGUAUAGGGGCGAAAGACCAAUCGAACCAUCUAGUAGC
Molecule: ribosomal RNA, 1105 nt
Filed under: Fergusonina sp. FC-100
Lineage: Eukaryota; Metazoa; Arthropoda; Insecta; Diptera; Fergusoninidae
Description: eukaryotic LSU rRNA
Rfam family: Eukaryotic large subunit ribosomal RNA
Source: RNAcentral